UACGUAGGGGGCAAGCGUUGUUCGGAAUUACUGGGCGUAAAGGGCGCGUAGGCGGCACGACAAGUCGGAAGUGAAAGCCCGGGGCUCAACCCCGGAAUGUCUUUCGAAACUGUCGAGCUAGAGUGCAGAAGAGGCAACUGGAAUUCCCAGUGUAGCGGUGAAAUGCGUAGAUAUGCGGAGGAACACCGAUGGCGAAGGCAAUCCCCUGGGCCUGCACUGACGCUCAUGCACGAAAGCGUGGGGAGCAAACAGG
Molecule: ribosomal RNA, 253 nt
Filed under: uncultured bacterium
Lineage: Bacteria
Description: partial 16S ribosomal RNA
Rfam family: Bacterial small subunit ribosomal RNA
Source: RNAcentral